GACGAACGCUGGCGGCGUGCUUAACACAUGCAAGUCGAACGAUGAAGCCGGAGCUUGCUCUGGUGAAUUGGUGGCGAACGGGUGAGUAACACGUGAGUAACCUGCCCUUGACUCUGGGAUAACUGCUAGAAAUGGUAGCUAAUACCGGAUACGACCCUCGGAGGCAUCUCCAGGGGGUGGAAAGAAUUUCGGUCAAGGAUGGACUCGCGGCCUAUCAGCUAGUUGGUGAGGUAACGGCUCACAAAGGCGACGACGGGUAGCCGGCCUGAGAGGGUGACCGGCCACACGGGGACUGAGACACGGCCCAGACUCCUACGGGAGGCAGCAGUGGGGAAUAUUGCACAAUGGGCGCAAGCCUGAUGCAGCAACGCCGCGUGAGGGAUGACGGCCUUCGGGUUGUAAACCUCUUUUAGUAGGGAAGAAGCGAAAGUGACGGUACCUGCAGAAAAAGCACCGGCUAACUACGUGCCAGCAGCCGCCGUAA
RNAcentral lists this ribosomal RNA (484 nucleotides) under uncultured bacterium. RNAcentral's name for it is "partial 16S ribosomal RNA". It matches the Rfam family "Bacterial small subunit ribosomal RNA", at positions 28 to 523 of the family's 1533-position model. The record is from RNAcentral.